UAAAUCUGAUAUUUUCUAUUUUAUAAUAUUCUGUUUUGUUGUUUUGAAACGCCAGUUGUACUCAGCUGAUUUCAUGAACCUCCAGCAGGUCAUGACCAUAGUGUGAAAACACUGGUGUUGAAACCCUAACCAAGAGUGCACAGCCCAGUGUACAGCAGAAUGAGCCUCCUGUCACCAGCCCAGAGCUCUCAGACAGAAUUGAGUUCCUGUACAGUAGGACUUUCCACUCAUGUCUGUGGUCUAGGAGGAGAUUGGGUUGGGCAAACACCAGGCACGAUGGAGCAACCAUUAACCCUGGAGUUGUGAAGACAGGACCACAAGCUGAGAGAGGGCAGCAAUGGAAACCCAGCCAAACUAUUAAUGGAAGGCUGGGUCCCAUUCUUUAUUAUCCUUCUGUGGUCUCGUCACCAGCAGGGUGAGCCAAAGCCGAGGGCAAGAACACGCUGGGUGACCUUCCACACCCCAAAUGCAAGAUCAAGUGCUGUGGAGAAGGAGCUAUGGAAAACUAAGAAAAGAUUUUGAAAAGAUGCCUUCUAGCCCAUGUUUAAAUCUAGUUCACAUGGCAGAACCAGCAGCCAGGACUUCUAAGAAAAACAUGCCACUGUGUCUCGUGUUGCCCAGGCCCAUGGAAGAACUCGCUAGUGGAAACUGUCAACAUUGACUAGCUAUCAUGAGCCAGGACUGAUGGGAUGACGUGAGCAGAGGACACCAUUAUUUUGUGCUUCAUCAAAGUUGCAAGCUUAAUAAGUGACAAAGUGGGGUCCAAAACCCAAUUGCAGCUAGCCUUUUUAUUUAUACUGCUUCUCGGGUGAAGAGUCACUGACUGGUAAUCUCUGGAAAAACAAACAAGGUAAGUUUGGUCCAGCCACUGGUUUUUCCUUUUUUAAGCAGGUGUUCAGGGACAACUUGCUGCUUCCAUCCCUCCCUUCCUUGCUCCCACCAUGCUGGCAUUGUAGGGAGGUAGACCAGGCUCCCGUGGCUGGGUGAUGUGUCUGCCUAAUGCUGGUGCUCACUUAGCAGCCCAUUCUCUCUCCUAUCAACUCCAUUUUCCUCUAACUUUGCUGUUACCAGGAAUGAAGGCAAAUUUCAGCCUCUAUCCAUUUCUCUUUUUACUCAUUUUCUCCAUCUGUUCAGAUCUCAGGCAGACAAGAAGGAUGAUAUUAAAGACUCUAUGAUUGGGUGCAAUUGUCUGGAUUGCUGAAAUAUUUCAUGACACAAUAUAGAUCUGGAGUGACUGUAGCUUCAGUGGGGCCAGGUGGGUGGGCCUUACAUUUUAUAUGUGGAGUGUUUUGACCUUGGCCGUCAGCAAUACCUCAGAAGGGCCAGGUGGGCCUUAACAGCUGUGCCAUUGGCUUUUAACUGCUAGGGCCCCAGUAGGGGCUGCAGGUCUCAGGGUAAGUGGUAAUUUGACUUUGGUGGAUGACCACAGCCGUGAGGACCUUGUCCAUGGUGCAGCGACUAUCUUUACAUUCAAGUUGCACAUCUUUCACUGCAAAAUGGCCCAGGGGCCACAUGAAUGGCUUUUAGCAAAAAGAAACCAGGCACAUGAGAACCUCUGAAAGGGCUUGUGGCCAUUGUAGGUGACCUUAGCAGAUACAGUCCACAUGGGACCUGCAAGCAAAUGCCAGCCAUGCUGGCUGCAGCAAAGGCGUGGGCACUGAGUGGUCACAGGCAGCAGUAGGUGCACCUUGACCUUGAACAAUACAUGUGCAGGAGACAAAGGCCUCAGCGAGGGUAGAGGCCCUCCACAGGCGUAGCAGCUCCAGGGGCAGGCAUGGCUCUUCCUAAACAAGCAUGAUAGAAGCAAAGAUUGGACUAGUAGAGAUAAGGCCUUUCUGCACACAUGAGGGGAAGGCUCAUGUACUGCUAUUUGUCUGCAGAGUGGUUGGCUACUGUGUGCCCUCCGGGAAGAGAAAUGUUCAAGCUCAGGUGCAGGUCAAGGCCAGGUGUGCUCAUCCAGAGCUCUACAACUAGCUGGUUUCUCUGAAAUGAUUAAAGGGAGGAUAGAGGUUUAACUCACUACUGGGGAGAAAGAAAUGGCAGAGAUGCUACUCAUGUCUGGGACAUGCCAAGGCUGAGAAAUCACGGCUCAGGCAGAGACUUAGGCAUCAGUGGGCCCAAAGGUUCAUAGGGUGGGUAUAGAAACAGAAGGGUAGUGAUGUCCUGUGCAUCAUUCUCCAGUGAGAGCCAACAUGUGGACUGGUGACAUGUGUCUCCCUGCUAAGUCAUUUUAUAGCAGGAGAGUGCAAUCCACCACUGGGCCCCAGGACAGAAAAUUCCUGUUUGCAUGGGAGAAUCCCACUAGACAGAGCCCACCUCAGUUGAAUAUAGUGGGAGGAGGAACACUGGCCAAGAGGGAAAGUGAGAAUUCUGAGGUUUAGAAUUCUCCAAUGGAAAGGAAAGGCAGCCGACCCUUUCUGAGAAUGCAGACAAGAUGUCAAAAUAGGUCUUCCUCUCCAUGGUGGUAAGUGCACCUUGUGCAAAUUAAAUUGUCAAAGAAAGAUUUUCCCCAUUUGAAUUUAAGGUGCCACCUUUUGGGAUCCAGAUGACUGACAUGAAUGAACUGCAACCCAAUGGGGCAAAACCGGGAAGCUUUUCUCCACUGCCCUCUCCACAGAGUUGCUGUAGAGUCUUGGAUAUUAAGAGCUGGGCUUGGGAAACUUCAUUUUUCUGGGAUAACUAAGAGAAAGUGCCUUAGAGUUGGGGGUUGGAAUGUUUUUGGCAUUUUGUGGUGAGGAAAACAGUGUUAGCCUUCUCAGUCCUAUGUGUCCUACUAACUCUUUCAACUCUUUAAGUAGAGAGAGGCUCCUAAGUGAAUUGGCGUGGCACCAAGCCUUCCUCUCAGUCCUAAAGUAACCACACUCAUUUCAGCAGAAAAUGACCUAGGCUGUUGCUGCUCAAGGAAUCCCAAGCCAAGGCUGAGGGGCAAAUUAAAUCAGGGAAGAGAAUUCUGGCGCUUUCACCUAAGAAUUGUGAGAUUUGAACUUUGAACUUGAAAGGACCAACAAUCCCACGAUAUCAGUCCUUAAUUUCUUUGGGAUCCAACUUGCAAGGGGAUGUAAUCUUCAAAUUGUACCUUCUCAGUGGGACCUUGAUAAUAGGAGAGGUUUAUAUUCAAAUUUGGGGAGGCUCAAAUGUUGCCGUUUGCUCAGUGGAGUGACCUUGUGUGCUUGUUACCUUCCUGUCUUCCUGGGUCAUUCAUCUCCCUGUAGGGUCUGUGCUGGUUUGGCAACGCAGCUGGAGAUCUUUCAGAGCAGGAAGAGAGAAAUGAGUCAAGUUCAGCCUCGACAGAUGAAGCCUCCUUGCUGUUAACCCACCUCAGAGCCUUCUAGUGGCAAAAUCUAAACUGCACCCCAGUAGCCCCAGGGGCCCAGACAGGAGAAUGGGGUUGGUAUCAGGCAAGGAGCCUAUGAAUGUGGGACGGAUCAACCAGAUAGAUUGCUGAUCUGUUCACCUUCUUUCUGGGCACAGUGGCGUCACACACAGAAUUUUCAAGCCCACUGUGUUAGGAGCAUGCUAAUCUGGUUUAAGUCAGGACAAUGCUACUUCUCCUUUCUUACUUUUCCUUCUAGGUGAAUAAAGCAUCUUAGCAUCCCUCUCCUGGCUUCCUUCUGCUGCUUUCCUGAAUAUGCAUGGCAGUAUGCAUAGAACAAAACAUUCUCCCUGCUCCAAGAAGCAGGGUCUCCCUAGCCUGCCCUCAUGGACAGGUGAGCCUCAGUCCAGCAGAGCCUAUGGUUGGAGGCAAAAUGGGCCUCUUCCUGGAGUUCCGUUAGCAGGUCUAUCUGCCUCUCACUCUGAGCUCUGCCCUCUCCCUGAACCUGGUAACAAUAAGAGAUAUGUUGGCUUUGAACGAUUUGAUUUCUUGUCUCCUUUUUCCACUUGUUCUAAAUCAAAGUAGGGCAAAAUAUUCCUGUUUGUAGAGCAGAAACCUCAGAGACCUCAGCCCCAAUAUCUCUUCCUACCACAGUUUUCACAGACUAUUAGGAUCCCGGUGCAACAGAAGUGUUGAGAGAGCCCUUCUGCAAGGAACGAGAACCCAGCCAGGGCUCCACACUCCCGGAGAAGUUCUCUGUUCAGAACCACCCACUCUGUCAUCUGGGUCCUAUCAGUUCAUGCGGAUAGCUGCUGCCAUCACAAGGUGCCAGGCGCCAUGUUGGGCAUGUGGGUUACCUCAUUGAAUCUUCAAAUAGAUGCUGGUUUUGUCCCUCAGGAGAUGGAGGCUCCGAGAGGAUAGGAGACUUGUUCAAGAUUACUUGGCUCCUAAAGGAUGACAUUGGGCUUCAAUUUAAGUAGGAUUUCAAAGCUUGUGGCCUUGUUUCAUCAGAGGCGAGCAUCUCUACUUCCUCGGGACCAGGAUGGGUUGACCUGGGCUUCAUGUCUGAGUCUACCACUCAGUAGCUGAUUAACCCUGAGGAACACCCUGGACCUCUCCAAGGCUCAGACCUGUGAAAGGAAAGACCUUUCAACCCCCACCCUGGAGUGCACCAUAGGAUCAAAUGCAGCUGCGAAUAUUGUGCAAAAUUUUAAACACAAAAACUCCCCAUGAGACUGAGCUGAUAUCUCAUGGCUCUGGUGGCAAGCAAAAACACAAAGGGGAGAAGCCUCUUUUUUUCCCCCCUACUUCAGUUUUCUGUGUCAGUGCUUGUAAAAUCUUUGGUGUCAUGAACACCUCCUCCAAGUCUUUAGAAGUUCAACUUGCAUUAGGAUUUGACAAGGAAGUCCUUUGUUACUGUUUUCUUCUCUUUCAAGAUUAAAAGAAAAAUCUAAAUAUAGGACUGCCUUCUGCUUAGCAUAGUGCAUUUUCAGUAUAAGCAGACUGACUGCUCAGUCAGACUGAACAAAGCCCCGCGCCCCGAGCUGCCUAGCACCUGAGCCACUCUGCAGCCUGCCUCGUCCGCCUUUGAUGCCCACCUGUCAGUCCUGCUGCAUGGUGAAGAGGCCCCAAUACUGCCUUUCUAGGGCUUUGUCUUCUAUCAGCUGUUUUAUCUUUGCUUGGCUUCAAGCGUCUCUCUCUUUGUUCUCUGCCUUCUGUGUAUCUCUAACGUGGCAGUCUUUCAUUCCAGACCCCAACCUCCUCCCACAGCCUCCUGCACCAGCUUCUCAGGGCCCACAGGCAGCAUCUUGUGUGGGGACCCAAAGCGGCGGUUUGAGGCCACUGUGCAGGCUCAUCCAUCCCAGCUCUCACUAAGAGAACCCGAGCUGUUAAGGAGCAGGCUCUGCCUCCCCUCCCACCUCCAAACCUUUGCCAAGGCUGUUGCCCUAUCCUAGGCUGGAUUCCCCUUUGGGCUGCUCCAUGACUUGUCAAAAACAUAUCCUCAAAAGUUUAAGGGACUCUCAAAGCUAGCUUUUUCUCAAAGGUGUCCAGAGCGCUUCUAAACAGAAUCUUCUCCCCAUUGUGCUCCGCUGCAUUUGUUUCAUGAUGCUACAACCGCAUCCCUCUCUGCCAUGACUUUCUUUGUGUGAUAACCCAUGUCCUGGCAAAUAUGAAUUCCCAACAACAGAGACCACUCUAUUGGAAUUUAUACCUCCAGCCCCUUCCCUCUAGCCCCAGGUGUGGGUGCCUCGUACAAGGCAGAACUCAAUGAACAUUGUAGUGUG
This 5598-nucleotide long non-coding RNA is filed under the name Homo sapiens (human). Its description in RNAcentral is "HSALNT0379012". Lineage: Eukaryota; Metazoa; Chordata; Mammalia; Primates; Hominidae. The record is from RNAcentral.